RNAcentral lists this unclassified non-coding RNA (221 nucleotides) under uncultured Actinomycetes bacterium. RNAcentral's name for it is "uncultured actinobacterium contains 16S-23S intergenic spacer region". Lineage: Bacteria; Bacillati; Actinomycetota; Actinomycetes. The record is from RNAcentral.
UCCGAGUUGACCCCGGCAGUCUCCCAUGAGUCCCCGGCACAACCCGCUGGCAACAUGGAACGAGGGUUGCGCUCGUUGCGGGACUUAACCCAACAUCUCACGACACGAGCUGACGACAGCCAUGCACCACCUGCACACCAACCACAAGGGAACACCCAUCUCUGGAUGCGUCUGGCGCAUGUCAAACCCAGGUAAGGUGGGGAUGACGUGUCCUUGAUAGG